GCUCUUAUAGUUUAAUGGCAAAAUGUGUCAAUGGUAAUGACAUGAUACAAGUUCGAUUCUUGUUAAGAGCACCA
RNAcentral lists this transfer RNA (74 nucleotides) under Candidatus Phytoplasma luffae. Its description in RNAcentral is "tRNA-Thr". It matches the Rfam family "tRNA". From Rfam's summary of the family: Transfer RNA (tRNA) molecules are approximately 80 nucleotides in length. Their secondary structure includes four short double-helical elements and three loops (D, anti-codon, and T loops). Lineage: Bacteria; Bacillati; Mycoplasmatota; Mollicutes; Acholeplasmatales; Acholeplasmataceae. The record is from RNAcentral.